RNAcentral lists this long non-coding RNA (529 nucleotides) under Gossypium raimondii (Peruvian cotton). Its description in RNAcentral is "long non-coding RNA (GRAI_LNC002609)". Lineage: Eukaryota; Viridiplantae; Streptophyta; Magnoliopsida; Malvales; Malvaceae. The record is from RNAcentral.
UUUUAUGUUGUUUUAAGCUUUUUUUCUUUUUUUAAUGAAUAUUUUUAACAUAUUAGUUUUUUUAGUUAAAUGAUUAAAUAAUAAUGCUUUCAUCAUUUAGACCCAAGUUCAAUUCUUCUUUUCUAAAUACAUUUGUAAUUUUUAUUUCAUACCGUUUUAAGUUUUUUGUUAUUUUAAUUCAUCUUUGUAGAGCCCAAUUUUUUCCCGGGCCCAGGCAAAUAGAAACAAACCCACAACAAAUCAAAUCCAAACACAAAAUAAAUCAAAUCCAUUACAAAUCCAAAAACAAACUAAACCAAGCCCAAACCUAACCCUAGUAGCCCAAAGCCCACUAACUUAAAAAAAAAUUUCAGAAAAAAAACCCUAGCCUCAAGCUAGCCGCCACUCCUACCCCUAGGCCUAUGCCGCGCCUCUAGCACCGCACGCCUCUGCCACGCCUCCAGCGCACGCCGGCCUACUCGCAUGCCUCUGCCGUUGCCUGCACCAAUGUAUCUGAUACCUGCAGGAGCAAACAACAACAAACAACAGU